Molecule: ribosomal RNA, 499 nt
Filed under: uncultured bacterium
Lineage: Bacteria
Description: bacterial SSU rRNA
Rfam family: Bacterial small subunit ribosomal RNA
Source: RNAcentral
AUGGCUCAGGAUGAACGCUAGCUACAGGCUUAACACAUGCAAGUCGAGGGGCAGCAUGAACUUAGCUUGCUAAGUUUGAUGGCGACCGGCGCACGGGUGAGUAACACGUAUCCAACCUUCCGUUUACUCAGGGAUAGCCUUUCGAAAGAAAGAUUAAUACCUGAUAGUAUGGUGAGAUUGCAUGAUAGCACCAUUAAAGAUUUAUUGGUAAACGAUGGGGAUGCGUUCCAUUAGGUAGUAGGCGGGGUAACGGCCCACCUAGCCGACGAUGGAUAGGGGUUCUGAGAGGAAGGUCCCCCACAUUGGAACUGAGACACGGUCCAAACUCCUACGGGAGGCAGCAGUGAGGAAUAUUGGUCAAUGGGCGAGAGCCUGAACCAGCCAAGUAGCGUGAAGGAUGAAGGUCCUACGGAUUGUAAACUUCUUUUAUACGGGAAUAAAGUAUCCUACGUGUAGGAUUUUGUAUGUACCGUAUGAAUAAGCAUCGGCUAACUCCGUG